UCCCUGGUGGUCCAGUGGUUAAGACGUUGUUCUCCCAAUGCAGGGUGCAUGGGUUCAAUCCCUGGUCAGGGAA
This 73-nucleotide transfer RNA is filed under the name Bos taurus (domestic cattle). It matches the Rfam family "tRNA". Rfam says of the family: Transfer RNA (tRNA) molecules are approximately 80 nucleotides in length. The record is from Rfam by way of RNAcentral. RNAcentral also lists the same sequence under 5 other names. Lineage: Eukaryota; Metazoa; Chordata; Mammalia; Artiodactyla; Bovidae.